RNAcentral lists this ribosomal RNA (372 nucleotides) under uncultured organism. RNAcentral's name for it is "bacterial SSU rRNA". It matches the Rfam family "Bacterial small subunit ribosomal RNA", at positions 526 to 896 of the family's 1533-position model. The record is from RNAcentral.
CGUAGGGUGCGAGCGUUAAUCGGAAUUACUGGGCGUAAAGCGUGCGCAGGCGGUUUGGUAAGACAGGCGUGAAAUCCCCGGGCUUAACCUGGGAACUGCGUUUGUGACUGCCAGGCUAGAGUACGGCAGAGGGGGGUGGAAUUCCACGUGUAGCAGUGAAAUGCGUAGAGAUGUGGAGGAACACCAAUGGCGAGGGCAGCCCCCUGGGUCGAUACUGACGCUCAUGCACGAAAGCGUGGGUAGCAAACAGGAUUAGAUACCCUGGUAGUCCACGCCCUAAACGAUGUCAACUAGGUGUUGGGAGGGUAAAACCUUUUAGUACCGUAGCUAACGCGAGAAGUUGACCGCCUGGGGAGUACGGCCGCAAGGUUA